GACGAACCGAGCGAACGUUGUUCGGAAUCACUGGGCUUAAAGGGCGCGUAGGCGGGCUGCCAAGUCCGUGGUGAAAUCCCCCGGCUCAACCGGGGAAGGGCCUCGGAUACUGGCGGCCUCGAGGGGGGUAGGGGCGUGCGGAACUGUGGGUGGAGCGGUGAAAUGCGUUGAUAUCCACAGGAACCCCGGUGGCGAAGGCGGCACGCUGGACCCCAUCUGACGCUGAGGCGCGAAAGCCAGGGGAGCGAACGGG
Molecule: ribosomal RNA, 253 nt
Filed under: uncultured bacterium
Lineage: Bacteria
Description: partial 16S ribosomal RNA
Rfam family: Bacterial small subunit ribosomal RNA
Source: RNAcentral